UUUAAAUUUUAUUUAUUUAUUUAUUAACUUUUAUUUUAAUCUCUGUUCUUACCUACCACAAUUAGCAGUGCAGGAUUGUCAUUUUACAGCAGCAGAGAGAGUUCCUGUGUCAGCAAGUGAAGAGUUCCCCAGGGCUCCUGCAAAGGCUCUGUCCUGCUCUUGCCAGGCCCACAGCUUGCCUUUGAUGCUGAAGCACACAAAAGCCAGUGGGUUGCAAAAACUCAGGAUCUCAAGUACCACAGUGACACCUGGAAGCACUGGUGCACUUCCCUGAGUAGCUAAGUCAUUAACAGCAUCCUCUGGAGUUCUUAUGGAUACAUCUGCACUAAAGAUGGCCCAUGGACUAGUAGUGUCUUCUGCAGAACUGAGAACCACCAACAUGGCACAUUUGGCUCAGCAGAGCUGCACUUCUCCUUUAACCAGCACCAGAACACCCCUCAGUGCCCAGAGAGGCCUUGUGAUGGCCAUUCCAUUGCCAGGGAAAUUCCCAACUGUUGCAGGGUCAAGACUCUUUUCACCAUGCUGUGGGGUUGGCAGGCAUGUUUCAGGUGCUGCCCUGUGCGCUGUGGUCCUUGCUGCUCAGGAACAGUCACACUCUGAGGAAAAUGAAGACUGACCAGCUCCCCUGACUCUUGUCUUCUAUGAUUUAUGGCAAUGGUGCCUGCUGUAGACCAUACCCCAGAUCUGCUCCUAACCCACCCUGGAA
Molecule: long non-coding RNA, 706 nt
Filed under: Parus major (Great Tit)
Lineage: Eukaryota; Metazoa; Chordata; Aves; Passeriformes; Paridae
Description: lncRNA (ENSPMJG00000010308.1)
Source: RNAcentral